RNAcentral lists this ribosomal RNA (253 nucleotides) under uncultured bacterium. RNAcentral describes it as "partial 16S ribosomal RNA". It matches the Rfam family "Bacterial small subunit ribosomal RNA", at positions 524 to 776 of the family's 1533-position model. The record is from RNAcentral.
UACGUAGGGUGCAAGCGUUGUCCGGAAUUAUUGGGCGUAAAGAGCUCGUAGGCGGUUUGUCGCGUCGAAUGUGAAAUCCCGGGGCUCAACCCCGGGUCUGCAUUCGAUACGGGCAGACUAGAGUUCGGUAGGGGAGUCUGGAAUUCCUGGUGUAGCGGUGAAAUGCGCAGAUAUCAGGAGGAACACCGGUGGCGAAGGCGGGACUCUGGGCCGAUACUGACGCUGAGGAGCGAAAGCGUGGGGAGCAAACGGG